AGCCCCAAAUGUCCGUGGAACCGGCCCCACUAACCUGCAUCCAGCUGCCUCUUCCACCUGGGCCCUGCUCUCAGAUGGAAGUGUCACCAAACACCCAGAUCGCCGUGCUCCUGCUUCUCUGGGCGCCUGGCCUCCAUCACAGCAUGCCCACUCUGUGCCCGCUGCAACCUCCUCUGACUCUCCCACUAGACCGGUGCCUGGUACACAUGCUCCUGCGUGCAUGAACAUCGGUCAGCUAUGGGUCCUCAAGAUGACAAAACCCCCUGCUCCUGUGUCCUCACGGGGAUCUGCACCAGCACUGGGCUGAACACUCUCCCUGCAAUCUGUCAGUCACGUCUUCUGUAGCAUUUUCUUUCUGGCAACAACGGUUGGGGUCAUUAAAAGUGUCUUUGAAAUGC
RNAcentral lists this long non-coding RNA (398 nucleotides) under Homo sapiens (human). RNAcentral's name for it is "non-protein coding lnc-LBR-1:4". The record is from RNAcentral. Lineage: Eukaryota; Metazoa; Chordata; Mammalia; Primates; Hominidae.